CAUCAUUUUCAUUCAUUUAUUAGUAGUACCCUGAAGGCCUGGAGGCAUUACAGAGGGGGCAUUACAUUACAUUAUGUGUGUGUUACAGCUAUAUCUUUGAUAUUUUUGUGUGAAACAUGCACUGCAAAGUUACUACAGCUCCGUUUCCCCCGAGAUUCAAUUAGCUGCAUGUGUAUUUUACAAGCACACUUAGAUCAAAGAUAGUUUUCUACACAAGGGGAUGCGGUGUGUAGGGAAAGCAUGCACAGAUCAUGUGAGGUCUUUUGCAUGACUCUGCAAAGGUUGUGUAAAUGCAUUCCACAGCAAGUGUUAUUGUUGGACCUCUGGUCGGUUAUUCUUUAACUGCAGACGCUUGCAAAGGACGAUGCCACAGCAAUGAGUCAACCUUAAAGUGAAGCAGCUACAUCCACGGGAACAUAACAGCAUCAAGUUGAGCCAUCUCCCAGUCCAAGGCUCUCCAGGACGCUCAAGGGUGAAGCUUCUGCAGCACUGCCUACACACAACCCAGCGACACCUCGAACAGCAAGGCAUACUAUGCCAGCAGAAGAUGCACCUGAAAAGGCCUGAGGCAUGAAGUAUGGCGUUACACAAUUCCAAACUGCGACCAAGAAGAAGAUGAAGACUCUACGGCAAUCCCAUCAACAACUUUUUCAAAAGGUUGCUCAUCUCGAAAAUGUCAUAGAAGAUUUAUCUGACAAUCGCAUUCUAGGAAAUGAGGAUGUCGCCAUAUUGCAGAGUCUUGGUGGGGCAAAAAAAGACUUGCUCAUGCGUCAACUGCCACAUAAGUCUGGUGCCAGCAAUGUCACCCGCUUACUCGCCAGAGCUCAGGCCAUUUGCAGUGACUUUGCAUUUUUAUUCCCCUAGAGCAUACAGAUAUGUACGAGCUGUUUUCAACACAUGCUUCCCGCAUCCAAAGACACUGUGUAAAUGAUAUCAAUCCAUUGAUAGGGCUGCUGAAUUUUCAAUAGAGAGCAAUGACUGAAUUGGCUAUCAAGGUAAAGCACGGCUCUCCACAUUAUGCAAUCUGGUUGUGGAUGAGAUGGCCAUUCAAAGAAGUAGUGUGGGAUGGGAAAAGCUUCCAUGGAUAUGUUGACAUGGGCAUUGAUGUCAAUGAUGACAGCUUUCCAGUUGCCUAAGAUGCAUUUGUUUUAAUGCUUGUUGCAAUCAAUGGCAGAUGGAAGCUGCCAAUUGGCUACUUUCUAGUGCAUGGCCUUGGUGGUGAGCAGAGGUGCAAUUUGGUACUGCAAGCUGCUAGCUUCACUCACGAAAAAGGUGCACACAUUGUGAGUUUGACCUGCGAUGGCGCUGCAGCGAAUUUGUCAUUGCUGCACAGCCUUGGCUGCAAGAUGGACCUGACUAAGCUGGAUGCUUCUUUUCCACAUCCAGUGACAAAAAAAGCUUUUCUUUGCCAUGUUGGAUCCCUGUCACAUGUUGAAGCUACUGUGGCACACCCUGUUUGAUAAAAAUGGCUAUUGUGAUACAAACAAACAGUUCAUAUUGUUGAAACACAUUGAUGAGCUGCAUGAAAUCCAGUACACAGAGGGCCUACAUUUGGCAAACAAACUUAGACAAGCACAUAUUACCUGGAAAAGCCAGCCCAUGAAAGUCUCAUUGUUGGCUCAAACAUUCAAUCGAUGCAAAUAGUCAAUCGGUAGCAGAUGCUCUGGGUGACUGCAGAGCUCAAAAAAAUUCAAAAUUUUCAAAUUCCUUGCCAACAGAAGAGUUUAUCAGACAUGUCAACAAUGCAUUUGACAUUUUAAAUUCAAGACAUCCAAGGCAAGAAGAAUAGAAAGGACCGCUGUGUCCUGAAAAUGUGGCUCCUGUCACUGCGUAUGUCAAAGAACUUAUGGCUUACUUUUGCUCGCUUAGGUAGUCUGCAGCUGGUAAACUAAUGACAGGGACCAACCAAAACACAGGCUUCAUUUGCUUUGUGGUGUGCUUAGACAACCGUCCAUACAACCACUUGGUUACAGAAAAUGGCCUAUUGGCAUAUCUUCCGACUUCCAAGCUCAGUCAGGACCACCUUGAGUUACUUUUUUGCUGCAAUAAAAUCAUUUGGGGGCUGCAAUGACAACCCAACAGCAAAGCAGUUUGCAGCCGCAUUGAAGCGUCUGAUAAUUCGUAAUGAGGUCAAGGACAUUGAUGGCGGAAAUUGCUUUCUAUUGGAACACAUCGAAAUUCUCUUUGUACGCUCCUCUGAAAAAAACGUACUCCAUCGAUGUAAUUAACCUCACUGCCCCUCAGAGAAGCCCUGCAGCCAGUGAACCACUCACAGAAGCAAUUUUACAGGAUCAUGGUUACUCUGCUGACCCAGGCAAUGUGUCUGAGCUUGUGUGCCUGCGGCUCGCAGUACUGGAAGAAUUGCUGCACAAGUUUUCUCGUGGGUGAAUUAUGUUCAUGAUGGCCCACACAGUUAAUUCCUUUAUCCAUCAACUUCACCUGUCCCACCAGGUUUUAUGUUAAGGCAUUUAUUUGUUUUUUGAGUGACUUUGUAAAAUGCAUAUAUUGUUCAAGAGCGUUGUAUGCAGAUGUCAAACUUUUAUAGAGGGAAAAUGUGAUACCUUAUUGUAAAUUCUGCAAGUACAUGUUUGUUGUCUUGCUGAAUGCUGUAGCUUGAAUCACCUGCAUGCAAAUUAUGCUUAAACAAUUGUUCUGUUCAGCCCAAGCUAAACAGUGUGGACAAUGACGGUAGGUUAGCUGGCCUACCUUUCACUAGAGCAAACUGUGUGAUGACGUGUACAUGCUGUGAAUGCUCUCAAUGGAUUAUGUGUGAGCUAGGUAUACGCUUGAGGAU
Molecule: long non-coding RNA, 2794 nt
Organism: Dermacentor silvarum
Lineage: Eukaryota; Metazoa; Arthropoda; Arachnida; Ixodida; Ixodidae
Exons: 3
Source: RefSeq, a predicted model, not a curated record